RNAcentral lists this unclassified non-coding RNA (210 nucleotides) under uncultured Ascomycota. Its description in RNAcentral is "sequence contains 5.8S rRNA gene, ITS2, 28S rRNA gene". The record is from RNAcentral. Lineage: Eukaryota; Fungi; Ascomycota.
AACGCAGCUUGCGCCCGCGAGGGCAUGUCUGUUUGAGUGCGGUUGUUGAUAACCUGUGAGACUGGUUGGUUGUUCCUUUGGAUCAGCUGAAAUGGAGUGAGAUGUGCUGGUGUGGUGCUGGUGUGAGUGAGAGACGCUCGUCUUGUCACAACAGCACCUUCCUUUACUCACUCACGCCUCAAAUCAGACAAGACGACCCGCUGAACUUAA